This 332-nucleotide ribosomal RNA is filed under the name uncultured bacterium. RNAcentral's name for it is "bacterial SSU rRNA". It matches the Rfam family "Bacterial small subunit ribosomal RNA", at positions 28 to 334 of the family's 1533-position model. RNAcentral also lists the same sequence under 1 other name. The record is from RNAcentral.
GACGAACGCUGGCGGCGUGCCUAAUACAUGCAAGUCGAGCGAGCGGAACUAACAGAUUUACUUCGGUAAUGACGUUAGGAAAGCGAGCGGCGGAUGGGUGAGUAACACGUGGGGAACCUGCCCCAUAGUCUGGGAUACCACUUGGAAACAGGUGCUAAUACCGGAUAAGAAAGCAGAUCGCAUGAUCAGCUUUUAAAAGGCGGCGUAAGCUGUCGCUAUGGGAUGGCCCCGCGGUGCAUUAGCUAGUUGGUAAGGUAAAGGCUUACCAAGGCGAUGAUGCAUAGCCGAGUUGAGAGACUGAUCGGCCACAUUGGGACUGAGACACGGCCCAA